AGGGCGUAUGGGGGAUGCCUGUGGCUCUCAGAGGCGAAGAAGGACGUGAUAAGCUGCGAAAAGCUGCGGGGAUUGGCACACACGAGUUGAUCCGCAGAUAUCCGAAUGGGGCAACCCACUAUAUUGAAGAUAUAGUAUCCGAUAGGAGGCAAACCCGCUGAACUGAAACAUCUAAGUAGGCGGAGGAGAAGAAAACAAAAGUGAUUCCGUAAGUAGUGGCGAGCGAAAGCGGAACAGCCCAAACCAGAGUUGUUACGGCAAUUGUGGGGUUGUAGGACUGCGAUAUUCUAUGCAAAGUGAAUUGGAAGCAUCUGGAAAGUUGCACCAAAGGGGGUGAUAGUCCCGUACAAGUAAGCGAUGUAAUAGAUAGCAGUAUCCUGAGUAGGGCGGGGCACGUGAAACCCUGUCUGAAUCCGGCGGGACCAUCCGCCAAGGCUAAAUACUCCUGAGAGACCGAUAGUGAACCAGUACCGUGAGGGAAAGGUGAAAAGAACCGUGAAUAACGGAGUGAAAUAGAUCCUGAAACCAUACGCCUACAAGCGGUCGGAGCCCUAUUAAGGGGUGACGGCGUGCCUUUUGCAUAAUGAGCCUACGAGUUACCGUUGCUGGCAAGGAUAAGUACUUAAGGUAUGGAUCCGUAGCGAAAGCGAGUCUGAAUAGGGCGCCAUAGUCAGUAAUGGUAGACGCGAAACCGUGUGAUCUACCCAUGGGCAGGAUGAAGCUGUGGUAACACACAGUGGAGGUCCGAACCGGUUGACGUUGAAAAGUCUUCGGAUGACCUGUGGGUAGGGGUGAAAGGCCAAUCAAACUCGGAAAUAGCUCGUACUCCCCGAAAUGCAUUUAGGUGCAGCGCUGGCUUAGUUUAUUAGAGGUAGAGCUACUGAUUGGAUGCGGGGGCUUCACCGCCUACCAAUUCCUGACAAACUCCGAAUGCUAAUAAAUAAUUACCAGUAGUGAGGGCAUGGGUGCUAAGGUCCAUGUCCGAGAGGGAAAGAACCCAGACCAUCAGCUAAGGUCCCCAAAUGUAUGCUAAGUUGAAAAAACGAGGUUUGUCUGCCCAGACAGCUAGGAUGUUGGCUUGGAAGCAGCCAUUCAUUUAAAGAGUGCGUAACAGCUCACUAGUCGAGCGGACGAGCAUGGAUAAUAAUCGGGCAUAAGCAUACUACCGAAGCUAUGGAUUUUAGUUUAUACUAGAGUGGUAGGGGAGCAUUCUGUUCAGCGUCGAAGGUGUGAUGCGAGUCAUGCUGGAGCGUACAGAAAAGAAAAUGUAGGCAUAAGUAACGAUAAUGCGGGCGAGAAACCCGCACACCGAAAGACUAAGGUUUCCUCAGCUAUGCUAAUCAGCUGAGGGUUAGUCGGGACCUAAGGCGAACCCGAAAGGGACAGUCGAUGGCCAACGGGUUAAUAUUCCCGUACUUCUUAUAAUUGUGAUGGGGCGACGGAGUGAUGAAAGCACCGCGAACUGACGGAAUAGUUCGUUAAAGUACCUAGCUAUAGGUCUUGUAGUAAAAUGCGCAGGACUUGGUGAAAUACGAUAGUACUCAGAGCCUUCGGGCAACGAGAUAGUGUGCCUAAGGGCUUCCAAGAAAAACCUCUAAACUUAGAUUAUAAGAACCCGUACCGUAAACCGACACAGGUAGUCGAGGAGAGAAUCCUAAGGUGCUCGAGAGAUUCAUGGCUAAGGAAUUAGGCAAAAUAGACCUGUAACUUCGGGAGAAAGGUCGCCAGCAGCAAUGCUGGCCGCAGUGAAAAGGUCCAGGCGACUGUUUAUCAAAAACACAGGGCUCUGCUAAAUCGUAAGAUGAUGUAUAGGGCCUGACACCUGCCCGGUGCUGGAAGGUUAAGAGGAGAUGUUAUCUUCGGAGAAGCAUUGAAUUGAAGCCCCAGUAAACGGCGGCCGUAACUAUAACGGUCCUAAGGUAGCGAAAUUCCUUGUCGGGUAAGUUCCGACCUGCACGAAUGGUGUAACGAUCUGGACACUGUCUCAGCCAUGAGCUCGGUGAAAUUGUAGUAUCGGUGAAGAUGCCGAUUACCCGCAGUGGGACGAAAAGACCCUGUGCACCUUUACUAUAGCUUAGUAUUGACCUUGGAUAAGUGAUGUGUAGGAUAGGUGGGAGAUUCCAACUGCGAUCGCCAAUUAGCUGUUGACAAUCCCUGACAAAGAAGCGAUUAUCUUCAUUCUCAUACAGUUCACG
This 2195-nucleotide ribosomal RNA is filed under the name Nostoc linckia z15. Its description in RNAcentral is "bacterial LSU rRNA". It matches the Rfam family "Bacterial large subunit ribosomal RNA", at positions 14 to 2234 of the family's 2925-position model. The record is from RNAcentral. Lineage: Bacteria; Bacillati; Cyanobacteriota; Cyanophyceae; Nostocales; Nostocaceae.